Molecule: ribosomal RNA, 492 nt
Filed under: uncultured bacterium
Lineage: Bacteria
Description: partial 16S ribosomal RNA
Rfam family: Bacterial small subunit ribosomal RNA
Source: RNAcentral
AGUGAACGCUGGCGGUAGGCCUAACACAUGCAAGUCGAACGGCAGCACAGUAAGAGCUUGCUCUUACGGGUGGCGAGUGGCGGACGGGUGAGGAAUACUUCGGAAUCUACUUUUUCGUGGGGGAUAACGUAGGGAAACUUACGCUAAUACCGCAUACGACCUACGGGUGAAAGCAGGGGAUCUUCGGACCUUGCGCGAUUGAAUGAGCCGAUGUCGGAUUAGCUAGUUGGCGGGGUAAAGGCCCACCAAGGCGACGAUCCGUAGCUGGUCUGAGAGGAUGAUCAGCCACACUGGAACUGAGACACGGUCCAGACUCCUACGGGAGGCAGCAGUGGGGAAUAUUGGACAAUGGGCGCAAGCCUGAUCCAGCCAUACCGCGUGGGUGAAGAAGGCCUUCGGGUUGUAAAGCCCUUUUGUUGGGAAAGAAAAGCAGCAGGUUAAUACCCCGCUGUUCUGACGGUACCCAAAGAGUAAGCACCGGCUAACUUCGUG